RNAcentral lists this non-coding RNA (45 nucleotides) under Schistosoma mattheei. The record is from RNAcentral. Lineage: Eukaryota; Metazoa; Platyhelminthes; Trematoda; Strigeidida; Schistosomatidae.
ACCUAGCUGAUGAAUCGUAAAUAGGAUGACACAUAUGUCCUAGAU